UACAGAGGUGGCAAGCGUUGUUCGGAAUUACUGGGCGUAAAGGGCGCGUAGGUGGCCUUCUUAGUCAGACGUGAAAUCCCCAGGCUUAACCUGGGAACUGCGUCUGAUACUGGAAGGCUCGAGUUCGGGAGAGGAAUGUGGAAUUCCAGGUGUAGCGGUGAAAUGCGUAGAUAUCUGGAGGAACACCGGUGGCGAAGGCGGCAUUCUGGACCGAAACUGACGCUGGGGCGCGAAAGCCAGGGGAGCAAACGGG
Molecule: ribosomal RNA, 253 nt
Filed under: uncultured bacterium
Lineage: Bacteria
Description: partial 16S ribosomal RNA
Rfam family: Bacterial small subunit ribosomal RNA
Source: RNAcentral